Molecule: ribosomal RNA, 726 nt
Filed under: Klebsiella sp.
Lineage: Bacteria; Pseudomonadati; Pseudomonadota; Gammaproteobacteria; Enterobacterales; Enterobacteriaceae
Description: bacterial SSU rRNA
Rfam family: Bacterial small subunit ribosomal RNA
Source: RNAcentral
AGGAUUAGAUACCCUGGUAGUCCACGCCGUAAACGAUGUCGACUUGGAGGUUGUGCCCUUGAGGCGUGGCUUCCGGAGCUAACGCGUUAAGUCGACCGCCUGGGGAGUACGGCCGCAAGGUUAAAACUCAAAUGAAUUGACGGGGGCCCGCACAAGCGGUGGAGCAUGUGGUUUAAUUCGAUGCAACGCGAAGAACCUUACCUACUCUUGACAUCCAGAGAACUUAGCAGAGAUGCUUUGGUGCCUUCGGGAACUCUGAGACAGGUGCUGCAUGGCUGUCGUCAGCUCGUGUUGUGAAAUGUUGGGUUAAGUCCCGCAACGAGCGCAACCCUUAUCCUUUGUUGCCAGCGGUUCGGCCGGGAACUCAAAGGAGACUGCCAGUGAUAAACUGGAGGAAGGUGGGGAUGACGUCAAGUCAUCAUGGCCCUUACGAGUAGGGCUACACACGUGCUACAAUGGCAUAUACAAAGAGAAGCGACCUCGCGAGAGCAAGCGGACCUCAUAAAGUAUGUCGUAGUCCGGAUUGGAGUCUGCAACUCGACUCCAUGAAGUCGGAAUCGCUAGUAAUCGUAGAUCAGAAUGCUACGGUGAAUACGUUCCCGGGCCUUGUACACACCGCCCGUCACACCAUGGGAGUGGGUUGCAAAAGAAGUAGGUAGCUUAACCUUCGGGAGGGCGCUUACCACUUUGUGAUUCAUGACUGGGGUGAAGUCGUAACNNGGUAAC